ACUCCUACGGGAGGCAGCAGUGGGGAAUUUUGGACAAUGGGCGAAAGCCUGAUCCAGCAAUGCCGCGUGCAGGAUGAAGGCCUUCGGGUUGUAAACUGCUUUUGUACGGAACGAAACGGUCUUUUCUAAUACAGAAGGCUAAUGACGGUACCGUAAGAAUAAGCACCGGCUAACUACGUGCCAGCAGCCGCGGUAAUACGUAGGGUGCAAGCGUUAAUCGGAAUUACUGGGCGUAAAGCGUGCGCAGGCGGUUAUGUAAGACAGUUGUGAAAUCCC
Molecule: ribosomal RNA, 276 nt
Filed under: uncultured bacterium
Lineage: Bacteria
Description: partial 16S ribosomal RNA
Rfam family: Bacterial small subunit ribosomal RNA
Source: RNAcentral